CAGCAUUGUAACGAACACCUGGCAAGGAAGGGAAGAACAAAUGAAAGAUUCAGGAAAGCUUUCUGGGCAUAUAGCAAUGCUUUGCCAGACAUUAUUCUCCUCAUUAUGAUACCAAUGGAAAUUCCCAUCAUCUAGAUUCUUCCUCUCACUUAUUUUAUCAAUGAGGGGCUCCAGAUUCAAGGGCUCUAACACAGGGAUCUGAGGAACACCUUUACCUGAUGACAAGAAUGCCCUGAGAAAGUUUCCGUGCCCUCUCCCGAAGUGGGUGGCUGUGGUGGUAUCGAUUGAGAGAGCCAUGCUGUGAGACAGAAGAGAAUAAAGCUAAAGAAUAAAUCACCACUGGUCAAUGCCCAGCCCAAUGUUCUCCAAAGACCACAGCUUUUGUAGGAAAAUGCCUGAAGGAAGUUUGGAAAAGCAUCACAUCAAUUCUGUUAUAGAGAUUACUAGUACUCUGGGAGGCUGAGGAAGUGCACCCCAUACAAAGACAAGCAGAUGCCAAGGUGAAACCUGGGGAAGAGUCCAGUAAUUUGGACCACCUUUUACACUUGAACAGUGUCAUCAUUCUAAGAUCCUCACGUUUGUAUCACAGAGUCACAGAUUCAGAACUGAAAGUAAUCUCACAGAUCACCCAGUCCAAACAUUUAAUUUUACAAAUAAAGAAACGUGAGGCCUAGGGUGGUGAAGGGAUAGGCCCAAAGUCUCACAGUGAACAAAUAACAGUUGUCUGCUAUGGGUGA
Sarcophilus harrisii (Tasmanian devil) is the source of this 737-nucleotide long non-coding RNA. RefSeq lists it as uncharacterized. The transcript is spliced from 2 exons. The record is from RefSeq and is a predicted model, not a curated record. Lineage: Eukaryota; Metazoa; Chordata; Mammalia; Dasyuromorphia; Dasyuridae.